GACGAACGCUGGCGGCGUGCUUAACACAUGCAAGUCGAACGGAAAGGUCCUGCUUUUGUGGGGUGCUCGAGUGGCGAACGGGUGAGUAACACGUGAGUAUCCUGCCCUUGUCUUUGGGAUAUCUUCAGGAAACUGGGGCUAAUAUCGGAUAGGAGCUCCUGCUGCAUGGUGGGGGUUGGAAAGUUUCGGCGGUUGGGGAUGGACUAGCGGCUUAUCAGCUUGUUGGUGGGGUAGUGGCUUACCAAGGCUUUGAAGGGUAGCCGGCCUGAGAGGGUGACCGGCCACAUGGGGACUGAGAUACGGCCCAGACUCCUACGGGAGGCAGCAGUGGAGAAUAUUGCGCAAUGGGCGGAAGCCUGAGACAGCAACGCCGCGUGCGUGAUGACGGCCUUCGGGUUGUAAACCGCUUUCGCCGGUGACGAAGCGUGAGUGACGGUAAUGGGUAAAGAAGCACCGGCUAACUACGUG
RNAcentral lists this ribosomal RNA (468 nucleotides) under uncultured bacterium. RNAcentral's name for it is "partial 16S ribosomal RNA". It matches the Rfam family "Bacterial small subunit ribosomal RNA", at positions 28 to 507 of the family's 1533-position model. The record is from RNAcentral.